Molecule: non-coding RNA, 26 nt
Filed under: Drosophila melanogaster (fruit fly)
Lineage: Eukaryota; Metazoa; Arthropoda; Insecta; Diptera; Drosophilidae
Source: RNAcentral
UCCCCAAAACAUGACUGUGCCCCCAC